RNAcentral lists this ribosomal RNA (468 nucleotides) under uncultured bacterium. RNAcentral's name for it is "partial 16S ribosomal RNA". It matches the Rfam family "Bacterial small subunit ribosomal RNA", at positions 28 to 507 of the family's 1533-position model. The record is from RNAcentral.
GACGAACGCUGGCGGCGUGCUUAACACAUGCAAGUCGAACGGAAAGGCCCUGCUUUUGUGGGGUGCCCGAGUGGCGAACGGGUGAGUAACACGUGAGUAACCUGCCCUUGACUUUGGGAUAACUUCAGGAAACUGGGGCUAAUACCGGAUAGGAGCUCCUGCUGCAUGGUGGGGGUUGGAAAGUUUCGGCGGUUGGGGAUGGACUCGCGGCUUAUCAGCUUGUUGGUGGGGUAGUGGCUUACCAAGGCUUUGACGGGUAGCCGGCCUGAGAGGGUGACCGGCCACAUUGGGACUGAGAUACGGCCCAGACUCCUACGGGAGGCAGCAGUGGGGAAUAUUGCACAAUGGGCGGAAGCCUGAUGCAGCAACGCCGCGUGCGGGAUGACGGCCUUCGGGUUGUAAACCGCUUUCACCUGUGACGAAGCGUGAGUGACGGUAAUGGGUAAAGAAGCACCGGCUAACUACGUG